RNAcentral lists this ribosomal RNA (1425 nucleotides) under Aplastodiscus albosignatus (Lutz's treefrog). Its description in RNAcentral is "partial 16S ribosomal RNA". It matches the Rfam family "Bacterial large subunit ribosomal RNA", at positions 371 to 2597 of the family's 2925-position model. Lineage: Eukaryota; Metazoa; Chordata; Amphibia; Anura; Hylidae. The record is from RNAcentral.
ACCUAAAAUCUAGCCCUCAACUCCCCUAUGUCCCCUUCUACCUAUUUUUCCCCAAACAAAACAUUCUAAUAAUCUAGUAAAGGCGAUAGAAAAAUUUAUUUGAGCUAUACUGCAAGUACCGCAAGGGAAAGAUGAAAUAAAAAUGAAAUAAACAAUUAAGCACAAAAAAGUAGAGCUUCAGCCUUGUACCUUUUGUAUUAUGGUUUAACUAGUCCUUAACAAGCAAAACGAAUUUAAGUUUGACUCCCCGAAACUAGACGAGCUACUUCAAGGCAGCCUAAUGGGCCAACCCGUCUCUGUUGCAAAAGAGUGGGAAGACCUUCAAGUAGAGGUGACAGACCAACCGAGCCUAGAAAUAGCUGGUUACCCGGUAGAAGAAUUUUAGUUCUCCCUAAAGUCAAAUAUUGCCUAAAAACAAACCCUCUAACUUUAGAGGUAUUCAAACAAGGUACAGCUUGUUUGAAACAGGAUACAACCUAGAAUAAUGGGUAAUCUAAUAGCAAAGUACUAAAGUGGGCCCAAAAGCAGCCACCUUCAAAAUAGCGUCAAAGCUUAACUACUCUUUGCCUCCAAUCACUCCAAUUAGUAAAAACCCUUAAUUAACACCGGGUGCUUCUAUACCACUAUAGAAAUCAUUAUGUUAAAACUAGUAACAAGAAGAAACCCUUCUCUUUUAAUGCAAGAGUAAGCCAGAAAGGAUAAACCACUGUCAAUUAACACGCAUGACACCAGAUUAGUAACAUCACAAGAAAACCCUACUGAUAUGAAUGUUAAUCUAACACAAGAGCAUUAUAAGAAAGAUUUUUAAAAAAGGAAGGAACUCAGCAAACAUCAACCUCGCCUGUUUACCAAAAACAUCGCCUCUUGAAUUCGCAUAAGAGGUCCAGCCUGCCCAGUGACCCAGUUUAACGGCCGCGGUAUCCUAACCGUGCGAAGGUAGCGUAAUCACUUGUUCUUUAAAUGAGGACUAGUAUGAACGGCAUCACGAAGGUUGUACUGUCUCCCCUUUUUAAUCAGUGAAACUAAUCUUCCCGUGAAGAAGCGGGAAUACCACAAUAAGACGAGAAGACCCUAUGGAGCUUUAAACUAUUUAACACUUACUGCCACUCUAUCACUUUCAGCAGCCUCACAAAAAACACAGCAUUAUGAUUACAAGUUUUCGAUUGGGGUGAUCACGGAGUAAAAAUCAACCUCCACGCCAAAUGGGCCCAGCCCCUGAACUAUAAGCCACAACUUUAGGUACUAAAAAAUUAUUGCCUCUUGACCCAAUAAUUUGAUCAACGAACCAAGUUACCCUAGGGAUAACAGCGCAAUCCACUUCAAGAGCCCCUAUCGACAAGUGGGUUUACGACCUCGAUGUUGGAUCAGGGUGUCCAAGUGGUGCAGCCGCUACUAAUGGUUCGUUUGUUCAACGAUUAAAACCCU